Long non-coding RNA from Limulus polyphemus (Atlantic horseshoe crab), 368 nucleotides. RefSeq lists it as uncharacterized. NCBI's taxonomy places the organism in Eukaryota, Metazoa, Arthropoda, Merostomata, Xiphosura, Limulidae. The transcript has 3 exons. The record is from RefSeq and is a predicted model, not a curated record.
CGUAGUUAGACCAAUAGGUUAGAUAUUAUAUGAUAAACUUUUACCAUAAAACCUACCUAAUCUUUCACAGCAUUAGUAUAUGUAUAUAACCACCAGGGGAAGGUAGUUUUUAAUUCAUAAUAAAUACGUACAUAUUUCAUCAAAAUUAACGUGCUCCAGGUAGAAGAAUGCAAGUACCUAAUUCUGAGCCUGUUUCUCUGUAGACUAACUGUAUGAUACAAAGUUGAAGCUGUGAUGUAACCAUGGAUUUAUCAAAGAUGAAAGUUGAACCCUUUUCUGAAAAGGAGCAGAAGAACCUAUUGGACAUCAAAUUGAUGAAAAAUGAAGAUGAAACUCCUACAUUAUCUAGUGUAGAAGCUGAUUCUUUA